This 468-nucleotide ribosomal RNA is filed under the name uncultured bacterium. RNAcentral's name for it is "partial 16S ribosomal RNA". It matches the Rfam family "Bacterial small subunit ribosomal RNA", at positions 28 to 507 of the family's 1533-position model. The record is from RNAcentral.
GACGAACGCUGGCGGCGUGCUUAACACAUGCAAGUCGAACGGAAAGGCCCUGCUGUUGCCGUGUGCUCGAGUGGCGAACGGGUGAGUAACACGGGAGUAACCUGCCCUUGACUAUGGGCUACCUUCAGGAAAAUAGGGCUUAGAACGGACAGGAGCUCCUGCUGCAUGGCGGGGGUUGGAAAGUUUCGGCGGUAGGGAAUGGACUCGCGGCUUAUCAGCUUGUUGGGGGGGAGGUGGCUUACCAAGGCUUUGACGGGCAGCCGGCCUGAGAGGGUGGGCGGCCAGAUUGGGACUGAAAUACGGCCCGGACUCCUACGGGAGGCAGCAGUGGAGAAUAGUGCACAAUGGGCUGAAGCCAGAUGCAGCACCGCCGCGUGCGGGAUGACGGCCUGCGGGUUGUAAACCACAUUCGCCUGUGACGAAGCGAGAGUGACGGUAAUGGGUAAAGAAGCACCGGCUAACUACGUG